Molecule: non-coding RNA, 29 nt
Filed under: Homo sapiens (human)
Lineage: Eukaryota; Metazoa; Chordata; Mammalia; Primates; Hominidae
Source: RNAcentral
UGGCUGGAGGCAAGAUAUGCUGGUGGCAA